CACAUGAUCACCUACCAACACUGUGAUGUUAAACCUCUUCCUAACCAAACGGCGCAGAAGCUAGUUUUGUGGCUUCUAGUGCUAGCUUUAUCUGCUGUCGACAAGCCUGCUACACCAGCGUCAUAUCAGAUGACACUAUUCAGGCAACAUAAAAGACACCUUUGAAUCAGGGUUAUUCCGCACCUUUCCGUUUUUCUUUCCCUGACGAAGUGAUGAUUGCAAAACAAACCUCCAUUGAGGUAUCACUGUAUGCCCCUAUUGUUACGUACUUUUCUGCACAAGCGCUGAUGCAUAAAGCUUUUCCCCAGAAGUCUGCCGACCACAUCCACGAAUGUUGACUUAUCUUCUGUAUGAUUGGUCGUUCUAGUCUAGGCCAGUGGACGCAUUAUCCAGACGCACCAUCUCUACCCUCUGGGAUACCACCACCACUAGCCGACCAUGGUAACCAUUUAAAUCUUUGGGAAAACUGCGUUGUACGUGUGCUAGAUUAUUUGAAUACAACCUUAGCCCUUU
Non-coding RNA from Neurospora crassa OR74A, 513 nucleotides. The record is from RefSeq and is a predicted model, not a curated record. NCBI's taxonomy places the organism in Eukaryota, Fungi, Ascomycota, Sordariomycetes, Sordariales, Sordariaceae.